RNAcentral lists this non-coding RNA (130 nucleotides) under marine eukaryotic metagenome. RNAcentral's name for it is "FMN riboswitch (RFN element)". It matches the Rfam family "FMN riboswitch aptamer (RFN element)". Rfam says of the family: The RFN element is a highly conserved domain that is found frequently in the 5'-untranslated regions of prokaryotic mRNAs that encode for flavin mononucleotide (FMN) biosynthesis and transport proteins. This element is a metabolite-dependent riboswitch that directly binds FMN in the absence of proteins. The record is from RNAcentral.
AGUCUUCGGGGUUGGGUGAGAUUCCCUACCGGCGGUAAGUCAUAUGGCAAGCCCGCGAACCUCUGCUUUUGGUUGAGGUUGAUCAGGUUGAAUUCCUGAGCCGACGGUUACAGUCCGGAUGGGAGAAGAU